GUCCGGUAAGGGCCGAUUUGGCCUUAAAUUUCAGGUUCAUCUAACGAACGUUUUUGGACACUUUUUAAACACUUAAGUGUCUAUUUCAAUUGAUUCGAUUAGUUUAUGUGAAAGAUUUUAACUGAUUUAGUCAUUAAAAACGCUCUGAUUCAAGCUUAAAUAUGAAAAAUCUAUCAAAUAUGCCAAAAAACGUCACUUUUUAGAUGGUUUUUGUCAAAAAUGAAUGUGGCCGCAUCCGUGUUCAUCCUCAACCUUUAUAUAUGUUUUGUAUUAUCAUCAAAUACAACUUACAUUUCAAUAUUAUGAAUGAACACGAAUGCGGCCACUUUCAUUUUAGACGGAAACCGUCUAAAAAUUGACCAAAAUGCUAAAAUUUUGAAGAUUUCAGUAAUUUAGCAUGACUUAAUGAUGCUAGAACGCGAUAUUUGUGCAUUUUUUCGUCAAAAACAGCUCAUAUUUAUGUAGCAGAAGCAUUUUACUUUCCAAAAUAUAGCUUAAAGAUUACAUUUUCACAAUUUUCUAAAACUGCUAUAUUUUGGGGCCAAAAAGGGGUCUUAGUGAACCUACUCCUUUGUUGACGGAUCCUCGAUA
This 591-nucleotide long non-coding RNA is filed under the name Mytilus galloprovincialis (Mediterranean mussel). The record is from RNAcentral. Lineage: Eukaryota; Metazoa; Mollusca; Bivalvia; Mytilida; Mytilidae.